CAAAAGUUUGGUCCCGGCUUUAUUAUCAGGUAUUUCUCAACCUACACAUGCAAGUCUCAGCACACCAGUGAGGACGCCCUUAAUUUCUACUCCAGUUAGAGGAGCCGACAUCAGGCACAGAAUACUUGCCCACAACGUCUAGUCCAACCACACCCAUAAGGGUAUUCAGCAGUGACAAAAAUUGUCCAUAAGCGUCAGCUUGAAUCAGUUAAAGAAAAGAGAGCCGGCUAACCUGGUGCCAGCCGCCGCGGCUAUACCCUGGGGCUCAAAUUGAUAAUUAUCGGCGUUAAGCGUGAUUAAAGUUUCCAAUAAUUAGAGUUAAAUCCAUUCAUAGUCGUGAAAAACUAACUGCCCAGAAAACCAAAAACGAAAGUUACUCUAAUACCUUACUUGAACCCACGACAGCUAGGAUCACAAACUGGGAUCAGAUACCCCACUAUGCCUAACCGUAAAAAAUUAACUCACAUCCCAAAGCGCCAGGAUAUUACGAGCGCAAGCUUAAAAUCCAAAGGAUUUGACGGUGUCCCACCCACCUAGAGGAGCCUGUUCUAUAAUCGAUGAUCCUCGAUACACCCCACCACUUCUUGCUUUUUCAGCCUGUAUACCUCCGUCGCAAGCUUACCGUAUGAAUGUCACAAAGUUAGUCUAAAGACUCCCCCCGUCAAUACGUCAGGUCAAGGUGCAGCUUACGAAGUGGAAAGCAAUGGGCUACAAUUUCUAAAAUAGAACAAACGAAAUACUACAUGAAAAAUAGUCAUGAAGGCGGAUUUAGUAGUAAAAGAAGAGUAGCGUGCUUCUUUUAACAAGGCUCUGGGACGUGUACAAACCGCCCGUCACCCUCUUCAAUAGCACAUUUCCAGUUUCAUAACAUCACUACAGCGUCUUAGAAGAGGUAAGUCGUAACAUGGUAAGUGUACUGGAAAGUGCACUUGGUUAAA
Molecule: non-coding RNA, 938 nt
Filed under: Spinomantis microtis
Lineage: Eukaryota; Metazoa; Chordata; Amphibia; Anura; Mantellidae
Description: 12S ribosomal RNA
Rfam family: Bacterial small subunit ribosomal RNA
Source: RNAcentral